GAGCGACGCCAUCGCCGCGAGCCCAUGGUGAUGCCGAAUCUCUAUCUUCCACCGAAUCAUCAUUUGUGAAAUCUCUUGUUUUUUCGAGUAGUUACAUAAAUCUGGGUUUUUUGUGCCCAACGGCUUUUUCCCAUAAAAGGUGGUUUUGUUUUCACAUCCCUGGAUUGUGUGAUAUGAGACGAAGCACCUACGUCUAGGCGAUUCAUAACUAAACAAGUUUGAAAAAUGCAUAUCGUUUCUGUGCGAUUUAUCGAAUCUAUGUCACACCUUGCGAACAAAUCUUUCAAGAUUCCUACGACACAAUUUAUCGCUUUCCUGCAUCAAACUCAACGAAAGAAUCAAGGAUCCGUUUCAUGACAAGUAUGAGCCGACAGCAACACCGACAGAAUUGUUAUAGACACCGUUCACAUCGACACAGACGCCGAUGCUAUCAUCAUCACCAAAGGUGCAGCCAAAACAUAAUUAUUAAAAUCACCCUAAUGUCUCAUCCCAUGAUGAUUGGUCACACAACUGAUCUCGUCCCUGUCCAAGCAGUACUCAUCAUGAAAUAAAUAAAGCCUUUUCGGUAUUUUUCUGCCACAGAAUCUACACUUCCAUGACUCAAUGAUCUCCAUUCUGAAACAAUAAGAAAAGAGGCUAUUCGGCCAAACCAAGAUCAUCAAAAAAAAUUAA
This is a long non-coding RNA of Belonocnema kinseyi, 672 nucleotides long. RefSeq lists it as uncharacterized. Lineage: Eukaryota; Metazoa; Arthropoda; Insecta; Hymenoptera; Cynipidae. The transcript has 3 exons. The record is from RefSeq and is a predicted model, not a curated record.